UACGUAGGGUGCGAGCGUUGUCCGGAAUUAUUGGGCGUAAAGAGCUUGUAGGCGGUUUGUCGCGUCUGCUGUGAAAAUCCGGGGCUCAACCCCGGACUUGCAGUGGGUACGGGCAGACUAGAGUGUGGUAGGGGAGAUUGGAAUUCCUGGUGUAGCGGUGGAAUGCGCAGAUAUCAGGAGGAACACCGAUGGCGAAGGCAGAUCUCUGGGCCGUUACUGACGCUGAGGAGCGAAAGCAUGGGGAGCGAACAGGAUUAGAUACCCCCGUA
RNAcentral lists this ribosomal RNA (269 nucleotides) under uncultured prokaryote. RNAcentral's name for it is "partial 16S ribosomal RNA". It matches the Rfam family "Bacterial small subunit ribosomal RNA", at positions 524 to 792 of the family's 1533-position model. The record is from RNAcentral.